AACUAUGAAAUCAACUUACGACAUAAUCCAGCAAACUUAUCUGGCAAUGAAUUCAUGCACCGAUCUGUUUCAUAUCAAAGUCUGAAUCACCGGUAUGAAGAAUCGAGGAAGUGGAAAUGAUACAGAAAAUGACGGUUAUCAACCAUUGAGGAAGAAUGGUAAUGUAACAAAUGGUGAAAGUGUUAGUGAAUAUCGAAAUUCUUCUGUCAGUGAUUCGAUCUUCAAGGAAGAUAACGAAGGCGAGUAUGUUAUAGCAAUAGCAUAAAACAUUUUCCAAACAUUAUUAGCAAAAAAUUUCAAUGAAGACAAGGUGCACCAUUGAAUGAUCUCAAAGAAACGAUGACGAAAGAGCAUAAACUUUCUGAUUCAGAACUGCAAUUUUAUGCAUGCGAAACGAAUUUCGGAAAUCAGCAUAGGUGUUGCAUUUUGUUCCUAUAUUAGUCCAGAUUCUAUAUGAGUUCAGUAAUGUCAUUCACUUCCAGUGACCUGCAUUGGUGAACUGUAAUGACUAUAAUAGUUAAUUUAACGAAUAGAUAACAUUUAACCGUUGUCUUUACAGUUAUAGAUACACGGGUAUGACGUCAACUGUGAUAAAUACAAAGUGGCCACAAGCCGCAGGGGCGAGCAAAAAAGAGCAAAAAAACUUACUAAAUAUAUUAAAAAAGAAUCCAAAACUCGAGGCAGACUGCAAAAACAUCAUUUGUUUACUUCGUGUUUAAAUCCGGGACCUAAAUUUGCCGCCCAAUCCACGCGUCGCCUUAAAACGACAUCAAUUCCACCUCUUGUCUUAUUUAUAAUCUCUAUGGUAAUAACCUUCCUCUUGUUGAUUAAAGUUUUAUUUUCAUUUUUAA
Xenia sp. Carnegie-2017 is the source of this 851-nucleotide long non-coding RNA. RefSeq lists it as uncharacterized. The transcript has 2 exons. The record is from RefSeq and is a predicted model, not a curated record. Lineage: Eukaryota; Metazoa; Cnidaria; Anthozoa; Malacalcyonacea; Xeniidae.